Pangasianodon hypophthalmus (striped catfish) is the source of this 5262-nucleotide long non-coding RNA. RefSeq lists it as uncharacterized. The transcript has 3 exons. NCBI's taxonomy places the organism in Eukaryota, Metazoa, Chordata, Actinopteri, Siluriformes, Pangasiidae. The record is from RefSeq and is a predicted model, not a curated record.
CACAGCAUUCUGACUGAGAUGUAGCAUUCGCUGUACAUCUAUGCAAAGGACUUUGGAGGAGGGAAGGGACACUGUAUGGAGAAGGGAAAAAAAGAGAAAACCUUGGCAAGCAUAAGUGAGCGCUCGUGGACUCACAGUGCCAAGGAGACGUUAUUUAUGUUUGGAUGUCAGCACUUGGUUCAGGUUGGCACAGCUUGUGGGCUGCACUCUUUGGCUUCAUCCUGCUGUCUCCUCCAUGCCCGUGCUGGGCGCUUGCCUUGCGCCCUGGCUCUGCUCUCUGUCCUGUGGAGGGUGAACGAGGCCUGCUGUGCUCCCAUUAACCCCCCAAAAUCAUGCUCCGCUCCUCAAUUAUGAACUAACUUCAGAAGUAUGAACCGCACGCUCAGCGAAGUUGGAGAAGUUGCUCGGCCGCGACGUCACUCAAAGGCUAUGCAUGAGUCAUGCUCCUUUACUUCUUGCGCUCACGGGCCUGCUUCUUUCUCCGCUUCCUCCUGUGCUGUGUGCUCAGGCGGCUGCCAGAGCUAAAACUGUACUCAGUCCCAUCGCAUAAUGCUCUCAGGGUCAAGCGGACACAUCUGUUAUCAGUUGAGGAUGAAGCAAAAAAAGGAAUACCGGCAUUUUUUUUUUAACAAGAUCCUUUUCACGCUCCAUCCUUACCCAUCCAUGUUCUUAUUUCACUUCAAAACACAGAACUGAGACUUCUUUUUUUUAACUUGGCUCUCUAUGCGUAUAAUUAUAGGGAGUAUAUAUUUAUGUGUCGUAGGCAAGCUCAGGGCCUUAAAAGGAAGAAAGGGCCUUUUCCUGGGGCCAUCAGAGCUGUAGUCUGUGGAGGCUCAAGCAAGGGUCCUGUGCUUGCCUGGGACUCUUCAUCACAGAGCGGAUGGCGGAUGGAGUUGAAGGAGGAGAGAGCAGCGCAGGCCUGGCAGCCUCAACAGGGCCAGAUAACAGCUGAUACUGGGACUAAUUUGGUAAUGUGCAGGACGGAGUUUGGAGCUGCUGUAGGUCAAAGAGGAGACUGGCUGGGCGAGCGUUAAGCUGGUCAGGUGCUGUGCCACCAGUGAUCAUUAGGGUUACAGCUGCUCGGGCCAGAUUGUCUGCUGCCUGUGCCGGGCGAGAUGUCUCACCCUGGGAAAAAGAGCGAGCAUCUGUCUGUCCUUCCCCGUAGACACGAACCUCCUACCAGCCUGUCCAACUCAACCCGACUGGUAACAAGGAACUGCACCUUCAACCAGUGAUAAAGUCAAACAGUGCACUGCAGUUUGUCCAAAGGAGGGUGGAGGUGUCCUGGAUGGCCUACUCCUCAUUGGGGGCACAUAGGAGCACAAAUGUGGCAGUAUCCUCAUGCCUCGUGACCAUCAAUUGACAGCGCUGUUUGCAUGCAUCUCUCAAAUCCAUGAUGAUAGAGGCUGAAGGGUUCGAGUUUUAUUGGAAAAUCUGUCUUUAGAAGCCAAACCUCAAAAAGCUUCUGUGCUCCAGAGUGAUGAGAACAUAAAAACAUACAUUGUGGAAAUAAACAUGCAUGAACUGGACCUUUAGCUUCAUGGCAUAAAUAACAUCUCAUAACCAGUUCAUCCUUCUCAAAUCUAGAAUUGCACAUCUACAAAGUAAAUUGAGUACAACCCCUUGUCUUCAACCAUGGGGUCUACAAUUUUGAUUGUGUCUCUGUCCAAGAAGGAAUUAACUUCUUGGGACAGAGUGGUAAACUUGGUCGGAUCUGAUAUCCAUGAGGUUCUAAGCACAGUGGAAGUAAAGUUAGUACCCCUGCAAUAUUGUCCUUAGGAUCCACUGGUGUAGUCACUGCUUAAUGAUCAGUGUUUUAAGCUGGGAAUGGAUUUGCACUGUGGGACACCAUGGGGAAUCAGCAAGUAUGUACCAGUUCAAGUAUGCAUGUUAGUGGAGACCAUUUAACUUUGCAAGCUUAGUGGUCAAGAGUACAGUACGAGGACCGGAAGGAGGACCAGUCAACCACGCUAGUGCCAUGUAUUCACAAGCCUGCAGAUCACCAGGUCAUGAUGGUCAAUGUGAAAAUCUCAGAGGGUGAGCGUCAUACUGAGCAAAAGAAUGUAGCUAACUCAUAGCCAGAACAAGAGUGAUAGAUGACAAGGCUAGCAAGCUAACAAGGGAACUCAAUCUAGUAGCCCUCACCACAGCCAUAAAGAGAUGAAAGGAGAUGACAGGAGAUGAUGGGAUACCUGUAGCUCCAACCAUAGUCAUAGGCUGUUACGCCAAGAGCAACAAGGUGCAUAUGAGAUCUAACGUACAAGGCAAGAAGAAGAAAGGGAGACGACAACAUGGGUGGAAAAGGUACUGACAAAUUAUACAUUUUGGCUGGAUACUUCUACUUACGUGAAAGUAUAGAUAAUGCCAAAAAAAUACUCAUGUGAAAGCUAAACUGUUGUUAGUAAAUGUAUUUUACUCACAAAAUUAUUUAAUGUUGUUUUAUGUGAAAAGUAAAUUUCUUUAUCUAUAUCUGUGAGAAGAUUUUUGCUUUAAAGCAGCAAUGCUGUUUUGCCAGAAAAUAUCAUUUAUUGUCUGUAGGUUUGUUGGUCAUAUGCAUGAACCCUACAAAGUCUGCUUAUGAAUUAAUCAGAAGUAAAAUAUUACAUAUAUUAAUAACCAACAUUUACCAUUAGCUAACAUAACUGCCUAGCCAGUUUAUGUUAGCUAUUGUAAUUUAUGCUAGUCUAACAUGGCAUUAGCAAAGAAAACAGCCUAACCUAGUUAAAUAUAGCCAGUUAACAUUACCAAAUUAGCAAAAUUUACCUCAACAUGCUUUUUCAAAUAUGAUGGUGUUCAUGGAGUUGUAUGGAGGCAAAUGAGACACCUUAAUUCUUAGGAGUCUUUGCUUGCUCCAAGAUACUGAAACAUUUUAUUGAGGUAGGGCCGGGCAGUGUUGCAGCUUAGCCAUAUUAAAAAUAUACACAGAUAGCUAUAGUGCUAAUUGUAUUGUGUAUCACGAGAAGGUCAUCACAGAAGGCAAAUUCUUCCUAGUUUUUUACAUUGAUGAACUUGAUUUGAUGCUAAACUGAAAAGAUUGGAUAAACUGAGCCCAUUUGAUAUAUUGCAUACAGUGAUUGGCUGGAUGAGAGAAAAACAGACCUUAAAGAAUUGUAAUGAGUAGUUUGAAGGUUUAAAUAAAAAAAAUGUAAGGAGUACAUUUUUAAAAGAAAAAGUCUUUUUUUUUAAUGUAAUUAAUAGAGAUUGCACCGAUCUGAUUCUCAGUAUCAGUAUCAGAAUGAUAACAGGAAAAAAAAGGUGGAUUGGAUGUCAGAAAAAACAUAUCAGAUUGAUGUCUAGGGUUAGUAACAAAUGGCAAAGAUUGGAACUGGAUUUGGGAAAGAAAUUUAUCUUUGGAACUUAUGUUUACAUAUAAAGAGACAGCUACUUCCUUUGUUAUGAUUUAUUUUAUUAUCUUUAUACUCUGUAUGUUAUUUACUAUAUUUACAAUAUAAUUGAUUUUUUAUGUGAAAUAGUUUACCUGCAAGUGCUUCAGUUAAAAAAAACAGCUUAGUAGUUUUUAAAGAAAACAAUAUAAUGGAUGGGUAUCGAUAUCGGGUGAUACUAAAGGUUUCAGCAUUGGUAUUGGUAUUGGAAAAAUAUAAAGUGGUAUUGUAUCUAGUAAAUAUUAUACACGUAUAGAAAAAAAGUACAAUCACUCAAGUAUUUUCCAACCCUGGAAUAUAGUUAUUUGACUAAUAAAAGUUUUUUUUUUUUAAUACUACAGUCAUUUUGUGACUUUGUUUAAUGUGCACAAGAAAGCAUCCAGUAAAAAUUCGCUGCCCCUAGUGGUUAGGAGGGGUCAAAUAGAACCUAGGGAUAUCUCAAAAAGUUAUCACAGUGUGAUGGAUUGAUAACUCUAGUCGUAGUUGAAAUAAGAAUGAGCUGUAAAUGCCCCAGGGUUAGUAGAAAUACACUUACAUCUUAGAGGAGGGACAUGAAUCGAAUAGGUUAUGUUGUGUACUGCUCUCUCUGGAAUGGGCAUUGCUUGUGUGUUGCAUCAGCCUUUGCAAGUUCGUUUCCUAAACUGGUUCUUGCAUAUAAAAACGCGGCUUCUGAAAGGUUGGUAUUGUGCUGGAUUUCCUCUUGAUGAAAUUAUGCAUGAACUUGUGUUGUUUGCUUAGUAGUUCAGACAAGUAAUACAUUUGAUUUCAUAAACAUGUUAUGCAGAUCCAGUCCUACUUUUAAAUUUGUAAGCUAUUUGCUGCAAUUACAUGAUUGUUUUGGAAAUGGCGAAACAGUUGCGUUGCCUUACUGUGCAAUCACCCUCUGAAAGAUUUUGAAAGAAAUUAAAGUUUCACCACAGUUGACUGUACAUAAGCGUUUCAUGUCAGCACUCAAGUUGAAUGCAUACAGCAAUGUGGGAAUGUAACAUCAGUGUGACUAAACUAGCACUCCAUGCAAGAUAAUGAUGGUUUCUUGCAGUAACUAUGUUAACACCUGUGCUCUGCAGUGAGCAUGCAGCUGCAGCCUCAGUUGCGGUCAUUCUGAACUGAUGCAAUGCAAACUGUAGAGUGGAUCUGCAUCAUCAAGAUUGGCUUCCAGUAGCAUGUCUGAGUCAUUUCUGCUUGAAUCCUGGUUUCUCACUGCCUUAAAAGCUUAUAAUGAAUCACACUGUUUUACAUGGGUAGUGUACCGCAGCUGAAACACAGAGAUGUAGACUCUCAUUGAAUAUGUUUUUUGGUCUGUGUGUUUUGCUCUAUAGCCUUUGCAAAAAUAGUACCUACUAGUAGUGUAUGUGGAAGGCUGAUCCAUGCUGCCAUUUUCUGAUUUCUCAAUAUCAAAUUAAUAAUCACUCGAAUGAUAAAUCAGCGAUCAAAAUAUCACUUGGCACAUAUAGCCAAGUUGAUUGAGUAGGUCUACACCCUAUUAAUUUCAUUUCAUUUCAUUUCAUGAUUCUGGAGUGUUUCUUAAUCCUCCACCCCAAUUAUUCUUGGCCAUAUUUUGAAUGUGCAGCUCCAGAGAGACACAGCUGGGGAUCUUGUACAUGCAGCACUAAUACCCUGACAUAGUAGAUGAUAGUACUUUCCAAAGCCAAAAAGAAAUAAUAAACUAAAAACAGCUUCAAUUUUAUCUGUUUGGUAGACCUCACUAUUAGCUGAACACAGACACCAUAAACCAGACACAUCUCUUUGCUUAAAGUAAGCCAUUUAAUUUGUUGUUUAUUUGGACAUAUGAGUUGAGUUUGACCUUGUGAAAUAAAAUUACUGCAUGAAUAACAGCCCAAAUCUAGCUAAAUCUAUUUAAAUUGACUGACAUGCUAAA